CGUAGGCGGCAAGGCAAGUCAGAUGUGAAAUCCCCGGGCUCAACCUGGGAAUUGCAUCUGAAACUGCAGUGCUUGAGUCCUGGAGGGGAUAGUGGAAUUCCCAGUGUAGCGGUGAAAUGCGUAGAUAUUGGGAGGAACACCUGCAGCGAAGGCGGCUAUCUGGACAGUGACUGACGCUGAUGCGCGAAAGCCAGGGGAGCGAACG
This 205-nucleotide ribosomal RNA is filed under the name uncultured Acidobacteriota bacterium. Its description in RNAcentral is "uncultured Acidobacteria bacterium partial 16S ribosomal RNA". It matches the Rfam family "Bacterial small subunit ribosomal RNA", at positions 570 to 774 of the family's 1533-position model. The record is from RNAcentral. Lineage: Bacteria; Pseudomonadati; Acidobacteriota.